AUAUGUGUAAUAAUAUGCUGUGUUUUAUAGAGGACCAGUUCUAGAGCAUAUAGAAGAUUUUGAAGAAUCAGAUCUCGAGAUUAAAUCAAAACGCCAUCAAUAUUGGAAUGUUUCCCAGCAAACAUUUGAGAAAUAUAGAAAAAGGAUUACCUACCUCCGUACAAAACUGAAGAAACAGAAUGAGAAAAUUAGAGCCAUGAAUAGAAUACUUGAUGACUUGAAGAAGAAACAAUGAAUAUAUCAUUUGAAAGAAACAUGACCAAAGUGGCAGGAAGUUGAAAUAAAAGAUGGGAUUCAGUUGUUACACUCUAGAAUGACACAGGUCUCCAUGCAUCCAAUAAUAUGUGGAAUAGGCAUUUGAAUGGCCUAAGAAAGAAGAUGGAAGCUGUAAGAAAUUUUGUUGCAAGUGUGGCAUAUUCCAAUAAAUAUUUUCAGUCCGAUUUACCUUUUGUGACAUAUCGAAAGAAGAAUAACAUUUUUGCCUUUCUCAGAAGUAGACAUUUCAUUGAUGGCAGAGUAUAAAAAAUAUUUCUCUUGAGAAUGAAAAAACUUUUCAGAAAGGUGGUUAGUUUAAGAAUUAUUCAAUCACCCACGAAUAUCAAACUGAAUUUGCUUACCAAAUCCCAUAAAUAAAUCAGAUUUCAUUGGAUUGUCUGUUCAAUAAGAGUCCAAAAUGUGUUCUAUAAGUUCAUCAAGCUUCGUCAAAUGUCUCUUCACUUGAUCCAACUUGAUUCAGGAUAACAUUGAUAUUCGUUUUCAUUUCAGUAUUAAUCUCAUAGCAAUGCAUGUACAUGUAUUGCAGAUUUUGCUUUAUCUAAACGUGUUUGAACUAGUGUUUCUUCAGUGUUCUGAAUGUCAUGUAAUUUUAUGCAAAGUUGUUGUAGAAAUAAAACAUUGGAAUAGGUGAUGUUGA
Molecule: long non-coding RNA, 913 nt
Organism: Leptinotarsa decemlineata (Colorado potato beetle)
Lineage: Eukaryota; Metazoa; Arthropoda; Insecta; Coleoptera; Chrysomelidae
Source: RefSeq, a predicted model, not a curated record